UGUUUGCGGCGGAUGGACGGUCAAGAUUCAUCC
RNAcentral lists this small RNA (33 nucleotides) under Arabidopsis thaliana (thale cress). Its description in RNAcentral is "ATSL177750". Lineage: Eukaryota; Viridiplantae; Streptophyta; Magnoliopsida; Brassicales; Brassicaceae. The record is from RNAcentral.